This 71-nucleotide transfer RNA is filed under the name Marmota monax (woodchuck). Its description in RNAcentral is "tRNA.Thr". The record is from RNAcentral. Lineage: Eukaryota; Metazoa; Chordata; Mammalia; Rodentia; Sciuridae.
GUGGUUGUGGGUCAGUGGUAGAGUGCUUGCCUAGUGUGUGGGAGGCAUUGGGUUCAAUUCUCAGCACCACA